GCGGGCUGUGCCACUGCGAGGUAAUGAGGGCCUUCGUAGCUCCUCUCUCGCGGGAAGGUCUGAGGCAUCGCUUUGUCUCCCGUGAAGGGAGUGCCUUUGACAGAGGCAAGGAGUAACAGAAAGGCACUCGUCAUGGUCCUUCUGCCCGUGGAAGUCCCUGAGACUGAGGGUGGGUCAUGAUGAGAUGAGAUCGGCUCCUCACGAGCGCGUGCAGCGAGAUUGGCGCUAAUACUAAAUUCAGACUAUGCUCGC
Molecule: RNase P RNA, 252 nt
Filed under: Hydatigera taeniaeformis
Lineage: Eukaryota; Metazoa; Platyhelminthes; Cestoda; Cyclophyllidea; Taeniidae
Description: Taenia taeniaeformis Nuclear RNase P
Rfam family: Nuclear RNase P
About the family: Ribonuclease P (RNase P) is a ubiquitous endoribonuclease, found in archaea, bacteria and eukarya as well as chloroplasts and mitochondria. Its best characterised activity is the generation of mature 5'-ends of tRNAs by cleaving the 5'-leader elements of precursor-tRNAs. Cellular RNase Ps are ribonucleoproteins.
Source: Rfam by way of RNAcentral